GACGAACGCUGGCGGCGUGCCUAAUACAUGCAAGUUGAGCGCUGAAGGUUGGUACUUGUACCAACUGGAUGAGCAGCGAACGGGUGAGUAACGCGUGGGGAAUCUGCCUUUGAGCGGGGGACAACAUUUGGAAACGAAUGCUAAUACCGCGUAAAAACUUUAAACACAAGUUUUAAGUUUGAAAGAUGCAAUUGCAUCACUCAAAGAUGAUCCCGCGUUGUAUUAGCUAGUUGGUGAGGUAAAGGCUCACCAAGGCGAUGAUACAUAGCCGACCUGAGAGGGUGAUCGGCCACAUUGGGACUGAGACACGGCCCAAACUCCUACGGGAGGCAGCAGUAGGGAAUCUUCGGCAAUGGACGAAAGUCUGACCGAGCAACGCCGCGUGAGUGAAGAAGGUUUUCGGAUCGUAAAACUCUGCUGGUAGAGAAGAACGUUGGUGAGAGUGGAAAGCUCAUCAAGUGACGGUAACUACCCAGAAAGGGACGGCUAACUACGUG
RNAcentral lists this ribosomal RNA (497 nucleotides) under uncultured bacterium. Its description in RNAcentral is "partial 16S ribosomal RNA". It matches the Rfam family "Bacterial small subunit ribosomal RNA", at positions 28 to 507 of the family's 1533-position model. The record is from RNAcentral.